Molecule: long non-coding RNA, 3100 nt
Filed under: Cricetulus griseus (Chinese hamster)
Lineage: Eukaryota; Metazoa; Chordata; Mammalia; Rodentia; Cricetidae
Description: lncRNA (ENSCGRG00015033458.1)
Source: RNAcentral
CUUCGGGACAGUUCUAGGACAGCAGCAUUGACCUUGUGUAAGGAAAGGUUAAAUGUUAUUAUAAAACAGUGAAACCACAAAAGAUAGAAAAAAAAUAACAUGCUUAUCAUUGUCCAAAUAUGGCCUUCUUGAACUUUGGAUGCUAUUUCAGCACUGUGGGGAAAUUCCAGAAAUCUCUGCCUCCAAAUAGUUCCCUCUCACCUUAUCUGCCUUUGCUGAGAAACCAACGAUAAGCUUGGUAUCAGUCCGUGUCUGAAGGGGCCCAGAAAGCUGUCUGCGGGGAGCCUUGCAUCCUCCUCGUGCUGGAUUCGGUUUUCUGUAGGUCUUCAACCUCAGGUUAGUUUGCAGUGGUUCUCAACCUUCCUAAUGCUGUGACCCUAUAGUUCCUCACACUAUGAUGAGCUCCUCAACCAUAAAAAUUACAACUGUAAUUUUGCUAAUUUAUGAAUUGUACUCUAAACAUAUAUUUUUUGGAGAGAAGAGAUUUGCCAAAGGGGGUCACGACCCACAGGUUGAGAACCACUGGUUACAGUUACUUAGUACUCACAAUUACUUGGAUACUCACUGCUGGGGCAGUGACAUGGUGGCCUGAGCAGGGGUGCAAGGUCCCGAUGCGCCUGAAGCUGAACUACAUGGAAGAGAAAUUCUGCCCUUGGGAACCCAAGGCUUUUGCUUUUCUUGGCUCACCAAGACGCCGAGACAGAUUGGGUAGACCCCUGUUUAUACCCAUAGUGCCUCAUUCCAAGACAAACAUCGGUGGCUCUCUGUCUUCAUGUUUGUAUACAUGACUAAUCUUAGAGAUUUCGUGCAGCUGAGAUUCUCUGCUUUGGACCAAAGCAGACACGGAGAAAUCGAAACAAAAAAGAAUCCUGGUUUUCUCCGGUCUUUGUACUCUACUCUCCACAGAAGAGCUAGUGGUCCAGUUGGUUCUGAAAGACCCCCGGAGGCUCAGGCCCCAAGGAUCUUGGCCCAGGACCUCAGUGACCCCAAUCACCAAGCGGGGUUGAAAACUUGAUGCAAACAGCAUGAGGCUUUAUUGCAGUUGUUUAACGAGCUAACCCCAUGUUAGCUCAGGCCUUUCAUCCACCCACCAUGGAGGAUGGCUGGGGAAAGACUGAGAAGCCACAGGACCGAUAUCUUAUAGGGCAACGUAAGGGUAGUGUCUAGGGGUAUGCACAGGCUCAGGAUUGGUGUGCCUCCAGGCUUGGAGGACUUGCCCUGUGUUGAUUGGACAACUGGUUGUUAUGGCCCAUAGGCCCUCCCAGGGCAGUUGCUAUGCUCUGCACGUCAUUGCUGUGCACUUGUUCGUAAAGCACACCCAGAGCUGUAAAGCAUAGCACCACCAGCUAACUUCUGAUUGGUUCCUUGCCACGAGGCAGGCAUCUGACCUCCUAGUGACCAAGGCAAGGUCAGGCAAGCACAUGUUAGGCUGUUAUGGCUGCCAAAAUGGGGAACUGGUCCCUUCAGUUCCUCAGGUGCCUGAGGACCAGAGGGUUAGGUUGCCUUAGCCCUUAGGGAGUGACAGGAAUGCUGAGAAUGUCUGGCACCAAUUUUCAGACCCUCUGGGAAAGGAAGUUUUGGCUUGGAGUGAUGGAGGAAGCAAUCUUUACCUCUGACCACAGUUACCUGAGGACUUGGAUCUCACCCCUGAGCCCAAGGGUCUGCUGCUGAAAUCCUCCAGAUCUGUCCACCCGGGAAGAGAGGCCCCUGUGAAAGAUUGCAUAGCAAACUACAGAUGUGAAAUUCUUUUUUAAAGAUUUGUUUGUUUUUAUUUUAUAUGCAUUGGUAUUUUGCCUGCAUAUAUGUCUGUGUGAAGGUGCCAGAUCCCCUGGAACUGGAGUUACAGACAGUCAUGAGCCACCAUGUGGAUGCUGGGAAUUGAAUCUGGGUCCUCUGGAAGAGCAGCCAGUGCUCUUAACCUCUGAGCCUUGUCUCCAGCCCAUGUGAAAUUAUUUUGCCUCUGAUUCUUAACCCUGAGUUAUUUAUUCUGAGACAGUGUUUCUCAACCUUCAGUGUAGUUCCUCAUGUUGUGAUGACCCCCCAACCAUAAAAUCUUUUUCAUUGCUACUUCAUGACUGCAAUUUUGCUACUGUUUUGAAUCAGAAAGUAAAUCUCUGUGUUUUUUUCCAGUAGUUUUGGGUAACUCCUUUGAAAGGGUUGUUUGAUUCUCCAAAGCGUCAUGACCCACUGAUUGAGAACCCCUUCUCUAAGACUUCAGUAGCUAGAGGAACAAAUGGGUCCACUGUAUAUGUCCUAUGACCCAUCUUUCAGAGUUCAAAUGUUGGGCACUAUCUGGUUUGAUAUGCCAAAGAUUCUGAAGUAACAUUUUCUUUUAGUAGAAAAAGAAGGAAAAAUGGCCAGGGAUUGACUCCCAAGUGUCACCAUACAACAGUUGUUCUGAUUCUCGGUCCCCAGUCAUAACUUGGGAUAUAUUUGAGUCUGCAUUUAAUUCAUACAAGUAUGAGGACAGUCAUCAUCAGAAACCACAUCACAGAUACAACCACUUUUGCAGCAACCUUUGUGACAACUAGAAUUGCACAAAGAGAGUGCAAUUUGUGUUCUGAGAUGGACUCUGUUAACAUAGUUUCAAUUACUUAGCUGUUCUCCUCUAAUAUGUCUGGGUUUUGAUGGACUUAACCAUUGCCCUCAAUCCCUGCAACCUCAUGACAUGGCCACUCUGCCCCACCCUUUGCUUGCAGAGACGCCUCCUUGGAGGAACAGUUCACCCUGCAUUCGGGAAGUACAGACGUUAAUGUAAAAGCAGUUUAGUGAGCAUGUUUGCUUGUGUCAGGCUACAAACAUGAAAGGGUUUUCUUUUUCCUAUAGUUACUCCUAAGUGUAUUCUGUCAAAACUCUGUUGUCACCUGCUGUGAGCUUCACUAAUGACCUCGAAGCUUAGCAUCCUGACUUUUGGUGCCUUCACCUUAUUAAAACUCACUGAUGAAAACCUUAAGGCUCAGCAGUAUUCAUUUCAAAAGUUUAAAAUCGGUUGCUUUCAAAGCCCCGCCCCUCCUUUUCCUCCAAAGAGGUGGAGGUGUUAACCCAUAGUGUCAACCCUUCCUCUGUCAAAUAUACCCCACCCCCAUCCCCUGGGGCUGCC